AAGACUAGCCAAUUAUUCACGAGAGACAAUGCCACGUGAAGAAAGCAAAGAUUCCUGAAGAUUGAAACUUGUCGGCACUCUCUCGCACUUUUCUAUAUUAUUAGAAGGACACGCGUAUACCCUAGUAGGACACGUGUGCAUGCUACCGUGGGUAAAAUAAGUGAAGGAAGGCUCCCGAAGGCCACCUUGCAGCCACCCCUCGCGGCUAUAAAAGGAGACGCUGGGCUCAAGAAGAAAACAACACAAGAGACGGGAGAGCACGGAGCAUUCAAAGCAUCGAGACUCUCCACCAGAGCACCACUUCCUUCGUAGUCUAGCCACCACCACUACUAGUAGAAUAGCCAAGAAGGCGCUUAGUUCACCAAGAGUUUGAAGCCUUGGCAUGUAUGUACGCAUACACUGACACGAGGAAUCUUCAAGGCUGAAGAAGCUCUGAAGGCUAAUCGCAUGAAGAUCUGUAUGGCCGAAGAGCGAAGACUGGUACACAAAGACUAGCCAAUUAUUCACCGAGAGACAAUGCCACGUGAAAAAAGCAAAGAUUCCUGAAGAUUGAAACUUGUCGGCACUCUCUUGCACUUUUCUAUAUUAUUAAAAGGACACGCGUAUACCCUAGUAGGACAUGUGUGCAUGCUACCGUGGGUAAAAUAAGUGAAGGAAGGCUCCCGAAGGCCACCUUGCAGCCACCCCUCGCGGCUAUAAAAGGAGAGCUGGGCUCAAGAAGAGAACACAAGAGACGGGAGAGCACGGAGCACUCAAAGCAUCGAGACUCUCCACCAGAGCACCACUUCCUUCGUAGUCUAGCCACCACCACUACUAGUAGAAUAGCCAAGAAGGCGCUUAGUUCGCCAAGAGUUUGAAGGCUGAAGAAGCUCUCAAGGCUAAUCGCAUGAAGAUCUGUGUGGCCGAAGAGCAAAGACUGGUACACAAAGACUAGCCAAUUAUUCACCGAGAGACAAUAUCACGUGAAGAAAGCGAAGAUUCCUGAAGAUUCAAACUUGUCGGCACUCUCUCGCACUUUUCUAUAUUAUUAGAAGGACACGCGUAUACCCUAGUAGGACACGUGUGCAUGCUACCAUGGGUAAAAUAAGUGAAGGAAGGCUCCCGAAGGCCACCUUGCAGCCACCCCUCACGGCUAUAAAAGGAGACGCUGGGCUCAAGAAGAAAACAACACAAGAGACAGGAGAGCACAGAGCAUUCAAAGCAUCGAGACUCUCCACCAGAGCACCACUUCCUUCGUAGUCUAGCCACCACCACACUAGUAGAAUAGCCAAGAAGGCGCUUAGUUCGCCAAGAGUUUGAAGAUCUGUAUCGCAUGAAGAUCUGUAUGGCCGAAGAGCGAAGACUGGUACACAAAGACUAGCCAAUUAUUCACCGAGAGACAAUGCCACGUGAAGAAAGCAAAGAUUCCUGAAGAUUGAAACUUGUCGGCACUUUCUCGCACUUUUCUAUAUUAUUAGAAGGACACGCGUAUACCCUAGUAGGACACGUGUGCAUGCUACCGUGGGUAAAAUAAGUGAAGGAAGGCUCCCGAAGGCCACCUUGCAGCCACCCCUCGCGGCUAUAAAAGGAGACGCUGGGCUCAAGAAGAAAAUAACACAAGAGACGGGAGAGCACGGAGCACUCAAAGCAUCGAGACUCUCCACCAGAGCACCACUUCCUUCGUAGUCUAGCCACCACCACUACUAGUAGAAUAGCCAAGAAGGCGCUUAGUUCGCCAAGAGUUUGAAGGUAAUUUCCUAGUUGUGUGUAAUCCCUUCGGGGCCUCCCGAAAGGGAAAACCAUAUGUAAAUUAUGUUGUUGAAAUGAUGUAGUUUCUUGGUUUCACUUAGUGCUUUUAUUUAUGAAUU
Triticum aestivum (bread wheat) is the source of this 1847-nucleotide long non-coding RNA. RefSeq lists it as uncharacterized. The transcript is spliced from 4 exons. The record is from RefSeq and is a predicted model, not a curated record. NCBI's taxonomy places the organism in Eukaryota, Viridiplantae, Streptophyta, Magnoliopsida, Poales, Poaceae.